UAAUACGUAGGGUGCAAGCGUUGUCCGGAAUUAUUGGGCGUAAAGAGCUCGUAGGCGGUUUGUCACGUCGGCCGUGAAAUCUCGGGGCUCAACCCCGAGCCUGCGGUCGAUACGGGCAGACUAGAGUGCUGUAGGGGAGACUGGAAUUCCUGGUGUAGCGGUGAAAUGCGCAGAUAUCAGGAGGAACACCGGUGGCGAAGGCGGGUCUCUGGGCAGUAACUGACGCUGAGGAGCGAAAGCGUGGGGAGCGAACAGGAUUAGAUACCCUGGUAGUCCACGCCGUAAACGGUGGGUGCUAGGUGUAGGGGGUAUUCCACGCCCUCUGUGCCGCAGCUAACGCAUUAAGCACCCCGCCUGGGGAGUACGGCCGCAAGGCUA
Molecule: ribosomal RNA, 378 nt
Filed under: uncultured bacterium
Lineage: Bacteria
Description: bacterial SSU rRNA
Rfam family: Bacterial small subunit ribosomal RNA
Source: RNAcentral